This is a long non-coding RNA of Triticum dicoccoides, 1088 nucleotides long. RefSeq lists it as uncharacterized. NCBI's taxonomy places the organism in Eukaryota, Viridiplantae, Streptophyta, Magnoliopsida, Poales, Poaceae. The record is from RefSeq and is a predicted model, not a curated record. The transcript is spliced from 3 exons.
AUCGCCGCUACCGCCCUCUCCCUCCUAGAUCCAAUCCAAGUCAGAGCCCCCGGGCUCCAUCUCCAUUCCUGCGCGCGUCGACCACCUCCCUCCGGUGGAGCUCGACCCCCACCCGCCAAGCGCCACUGCUCCACCCUCUCCCGCAAGGGUCUUGAGUUUACCCCAUCCCCUCCACCAGCGAGCCUCUCUGCUGCCCGCAGGGGCACAAGCUCCGUCCCCUGUUGCUCUCCCUGUUGGCCCUCCUCACUCGCCCCUGCUCCGCCUCGACCGGCCAGCGCGCCGCCAUGAUCGGCCAGCCCAAGCUCGCGUCGCCCGCUUUGUUCGCCGGAUCUGGCCGCCUCUCUCUCUUCCCCAACUAUCUAUUUGUCUGGAUUUCUCUAUCUGAAUCUCUCUCUCUACAGGCACCCAUGAAGGCGAAGAUGGAUCCUCACCGGCGAUGAGGAUGCCUGGACUACUCGGGUGGUAGCCGCCACGGCUUCUUCUUCUCCAAGCUUCGGCCCCGGCCAUGGCAGCGAUGAUCCAGUCCGUGAAGGCCCGCCAGAUCUUCGACAGCCGCAACAACCCCAUUGUCGAGGUUGAUGUGUGCUGCUUAGAUGGAACCUUCGCCAGGGCCAUUGUUCCCAGCGAUGCAUCAACCGGUCUUUAUGAAGCUUUGGAACUGAGGGACGAUAUAUGGAUCUGACUACUUGGGAAAGGGUGUUUCCAAGGCUCCAUUUGAGCGAAUUUUGUAUUAGCGUGGACAAUGAAUUCCUAAGCUACAAUCUUAAGUAAUUGUGUUACCUAGUUAGUGUUGGUGUAGUCUACCGUUGCUCACAUCUUUUGGUCUAACAUAUCUGUAGUGUUACUGUGUUGGUAUGCAUGGUACCUUGCCGCUGUGUUGCCCUGACAUUUCUGCAUGGUUGUUUUGUGCUGUUGGCCUAAUUAAACAAGAUAAAUAUGUAUACUUCUUUGAGAUAGAAAUUCCAUGCAUGUUUAUGAGGCACAAUUUCUUUGUGAUAACCAUAACUGUAAUUCAAAAGAAAAAACUAGCAUCUUAAAUAAUCAGCUUACUAAUGUAGGAGUAGUAGAAACUUCGUGGUUGAUCCUGA